This 268-nucleotide long non-coding RNA is filed under the name Daucus carota (carrot). Its description in RNAcentral is "long non-coding RNA (DCAR_LNC006883)". The record is from RNAcentral. Lineage: Eukaryota; Viridiplantae; Streptophyta; Magnoliopsida; Apiales; Apiaceae.
AUACUUGUGUAAUAUCUUAUCUGUAGGAAGUAGUAAUGACAUUAUAAUUUGAACAGUUUUGGUGUGUAUGUUGAUGGUCUUCUAUGAGCUCGAUGAUUGUUUUAGACUUUUUUUUAAGUGGCCAAACUUAUAUACUCAGAUAGUUUCAUCUUUACCAUAGCAUCUUGUGUUCUCACGUAGGUGUGUAUUCAUGGUCUUGGCUGAACUGGAAACUCAUGACACGAAGGCCUAAAAUGAUAUUCUCCCAAGAUUAUGCAAAAUAUAUAAC